Molecule: ribosomal RNA, 994 nt
Filed under: Acinetobacter sp. M.pstv.40.2
Lineage: Bacteria; Pseudomonadati; Pseudomonadota; Gammaproteobacteria; Moraxellales; Moraxellaceae
Description: bacterial SSU rRNA
Rfam family: Bacterial small subunit ribosomal RNA
Source: RNAcentral
ACGCUGGCGGCAGGCUUACACAUGCAAGUCGAGCGGAGUGAUGGUGCUUGCACUAUCACUUAGCGGCGGACGGGUGAGUAAUGCUUAGGAAUCUGCCUAUUAGUGGGGGACAACAUCUCGAAAGGGAUGCUAAUACCGCAUACGUCCUACGGGAGAAAGCAGGGGAUCACUUGUGACCUUGCGCUAAUAGAUGAGCCUAAGUCGGAUUAGCUAGUUGGUGGGGUAAAGGCCUACCAAGGCGACGAUCUGUAGCGGGUCUGAGAGGAUGAUCCGCCACACUGGGACUGAGACACGGCCCAGACUCCUACGGGAGGCAGCAGUGGGGAAUAUUGGACAAUGGGGGGAACCCUGAUCCAGCCAUGCCGCGUGUGUGAAGAAGGCCUUAUGGUUGUAAAGCACUUUAAGCGAGGAGGAGGCUCUUUUGGUUAAUACCCAAGAUGAGUGGACGUUACUCGCAGAAUAAGCACCGGCUAACUCUGUGCCAGCAGCCGCGGUAAUACAGAGGGUGCAAGCGUUAAUCGGAUUUACUGGGCGUAAAGCGCGCGUAGGCGGCCAAUUAAGUCAAAUGUGAAAUCCCCGAGCUUAACUUGGGAAUUGCAUUCGAUACUGGUUGGCUAGAGUGUGGGAGAGGAUGGUAGAAUUCCAGGUGUAGCGGUGAAAUGCGUAGAGAUCUGGAGGAAUACCGAUGGCGAAGGCAGCCAUCUGGCCUAACACUGACGCUGAGGUGCGAAAGCAUGGGGAGCAAACAGGAUUAGAUACCCUGGUAGUCCAUGCCGUAAACGAUGUCUACUAGCCGUUGGGGCCUUUGAGGCUUUAGUGGCGCAGCUAACGCGAUAAGUAGACCGCCUGGGGGAGUACGGUCGCAAGACUAAAACUCAAAUGAAUUGACGGGGGCCCGCACAAGCGGUGGAGCAUGUGGUUUAAUUCGAUGCAACGCGGAGACCCUUACCUGGCCUUGACAUAGUAGAAACUUUCCAGGAGAUGGAUUGGUGCC